RNAcentral lists this ribosomal RNA (490 nucleotides) under uncultured bacterium. RNAcentral's name for it is "partial 16S ribosomal RNA". It matches the Rfam family "Bacterial small subunit ribosomal RNA", at positions 28 to 507 of the family's 1533-position model. The record is from RNAcentral.
GAUGAACGCUAGCUACAGGCUUAACACAUGCAAGUCGAGGGGCAGCAUGGUCUUAGCUUGCUAAGGCCGAUGGCGACCGGCGCACGGGUGAGUAACACGUAUCCAACCUGCCGUCUACUCUUGGACAGCCUUCUGAAAGGAAGAUUAAUACAAGAUGGCAUCAUGAGUCCGCAUGUUCACAUGAUUAAAGGUAUUCCGGUAGACGAUGGGGAUGCGUUCCAUUAGAUAGUAGGCGGGGUAACGGCCCACCUAGUCUUCGAUGGAUAGGGGUUCUGAGAGGGAGGUCCCCCACAUUGGAACUGAGACACGGUCCAAACUCCUACGGGAGGCAGCAGUGAGGAAUAUUGGUCAAUGGGCGAGAGCCUGAACCAGCCAAGUAGCGUGAAGGAUGACUGCCCUAUGGGUUGUAAACUUCUUUUAUAAAGGAAUAAAGUCGGGUAUGGAUACCCGUUUGCAUGUACUUUAUGAAUAAGGAUCGGCUAACUCCGUG